AGUGAACGCUGGCGGCGUGCCUAAUACAUGCAAGUCGAACGGAGUGGCGCACGGGUGGGUAAUGUAUAGCUAAUCUGCCCUACACUAUAGGACAACAGUUGGAAACGACUGCUAAUACUCUAUAGUGUAGGAUGAGGCUAUAUUGUAUCAGCUAGUAGGUGAGGUAAUGGCGCACCAAGGCUAUGACGCAUAACUGGUCUGUGAAGAUGAUCAGUAACACUGGAACUGAGACACGGGCCAGAAUCCCACGGGAGGCAGCAGGAGGGAAAAUUGCCCAAUGGGGGAAACUCUGAAGCAGCAACGCAGCGUGGAGGAUGACACUUUUCGGAGCGUAAACUCCUUUUGUUAGGGAAGCGGUACCUAACGAAUAAGCAACGGCUAACUCCGUGCCAGCAGCCGCGGUAAUAC
Molecule: ribosomal RNA, 408 nt
Filed under: uncultured bacterium
Lineage: Bacteria
Description: partial 16S ribosomal RNA
Rfam family: Bacterial small subunit ribosomal RNA
Source: RNAcentral